GUCCCUCGGGAGACGGUCCCAGCUACCUUUUAUCUCCUCAACAUGUGCCCAGAGCCUAUCAAGCAGAGGAAACCUAGUGCAGAAGCAGCUACUGGGAACCAUAGCCUGGCCUACUCGGCUAUCUGUAUCUGCCGACAGAUGCGGUGGGGUGUAAGACUCAGGCAAAACAUCUGUUUGGUCUUGGGUUACAGCACUGACCAGCAAUCAGCAGAGUGUCAUGAGGAACUUUUCAAUCAGAACAAUGAAGCUGGAAACCACAGAGCUACAGCCAACUACACAUCCUCUGACCCCGAAUUAUAUGCUUAUCUCAGUCCCCCUCACACUAAGGAGAGAAAAAAUAAAUAAAAGUCAAAGUCCUUGCUCCUUAGCAACCACAAUCUAUGAUCAAAACCACACAUAGAUGAAAAGUAUUUUAAACAAUUAUAAACAAAAUUUGAACAAAAAUACACAAUAUGAGAAUAACCAUGAUUUUUAGCGUGUGAAGGAAACUCAAAAUGAGGAAAAAGUAUUAUAGAAUCAGCAGGGACUGGAGGUAGCUAUAACCAUUUGCCCCAUUCUAUUUCCUACCAGAGAU
This 574-nucleotide long non-coding RNA is filed under the name Equus asinus (donkey). RNAcentral's name for it is "lncRNA (ENSEASG00005024388.1)". The record is from RNAcentral. Lineage: Eukaryota; Metazoa; Chordata; Mammalia; Perissodactyla; Equidae.